RNAcentral lists this signal recognition particle RNA (97 nucleotides) under Ignavibacteria bacterium. Its description in RNAcentral is "signal recognition particle sRNA small type". It matches the Rfam family "Bacterial small signal recognition particle RNA". Rfam says of the family: The signal recognition particle (SRP) is a universally conserved ribonucleoprotein involved in the co-translational targeting of proteins to membranes. Archaeal SRP consists of a 7S RNA and homologues of the eukaryotic SRP19 and SRP54 proteins. The record is from RNAcentral. Lineage: Bacteria; Pseudomonadati; Ignavibacteriota; Ignavibacteria.
UGCCAGGCUGCAACCGGCAAGUUAAUACCCAACUCCGCUAGGUCCGGAAGGAAGCAACGGCAAGUAUGUUACUUGGGUGGUUGUAAGUCUGGCAUUA